This is a non-coding RNA of Podarcis lilfordi (Lilford's wall lizard), 73 nucleotides long. The record is from the annotation of a GenBank genome assembly. NCBI's taxonomy places the organism in Eukaryota, Metazoa, Chordata, Lepidosauria, Squamata, Lacertidae.
GGAUAGCUCAGUUGACGAGAGCGUGGUGCUGGCAAUGCCAAGGUCGCAGGUUCGAUCCCCGCAUGGGGCAGCU